UCCAGCGACAACAGAGAACCUCCUGAGAGGUUCGGUAGAAUCUCCUUGUCAGGGGAUUCGGGUUUCGGUCCCACCCCUGAGAGGGAGUCCUCCCACACUCAAGCCCUUCCUUUUCUUCCCUCUCCCCUGGUUCUCUCCUGAGCCCGCCCUUUGCCCUAGUUUCUCCUCUUAGGGGUUGGGGUUGGGGGGAAUGGAGCUGGGCUUGCCAGUAGGGUUGUCAUAUUUAGCAGUAAAAAUACAGGAUGCUAGUUCAAAUUUAAAUUUCACAUAAACAAUACAUAAUUCUUUAGUAUAAUAUGUGUCCGAUAUCAAAUAAAAUUAAAAUAUAAAAACAUCAUUUGUUAACUGUCUGAAAUUUAACUGGGCAUCCUGUUUUUUACCUGACAAUCCUAGGCAAAAAUAGCAUUUAUGUACCUCCUAUUUACGGUAUCCUUUCAUAGCACUCCCAGUAUGGGGAGUGUUAUAAUCCAUGUUCUGAUGAACCCCAAAGGGUCUUGCCCAAGGUUAUGCAACUAGUAAGUAACCAGGCUGGGAUACCUUAAAAGCCCAUUUCAAUUCUGCUAUCUCUCGUCAGGUGUGCAAUUCAAGGAAAGACUCCUGGAGAGCUCGUCCAAUUGUUAGAAUGAAUCUCCUUAAUAAAAGCCAAUUUAUCUUUCAGAGGGGCUAUAGAGUUGUUUUAUAUUCAGGUUCUCUGCUGUGGCAUUUACCUUAUAUUUGGGGGAAGAAACUGUAUUAAACUGUCAAGGAAUAUUGAUUUACUAUAUGAUGAUGAAAGUAUAUUUUAUAUUAUUAAAUCACAAUAGCAUAUCAUUUGACUUUGACAUCAGUGAACAAGGUUAUGUUCAUACAGUAGACCCAUACAUCUCUGUAAACAUAGUGAUUAAGGCAGUAUAGGGUAUUCUGAAAUGAGACAUACCUCGGUUCAAAGCCUAGCUUCACGAACACUUUGAUGCAGUAGGUAAGUUACAGAAUCUCUCUGGGCCUCUGUUUGCUCUUUUUAAAAAAGAAAUAGUAAUUAUAACCACUUCGUAGGGUUGUUGUACUAAAUUCUUAUCAAGUGCCUGGAACAUUUAAAUUAAUUAAUUUUAGCUAUGAUUUGCCAUUAUACUUUGAGUAUAAUGUGGAUUUUGGCAUAAAUCAUUAGAUAAUUAAGUGUUUUAAUUUUAGUUUUAAGUUGAAAAAAGCCAGUAAUUAAGAAUAUUAUGAAUAUUGUGAAUUUCAGUGAAAUGUACUAUUCAAUAAUAAAAGAGAUAUUUUAGAUAAUAUACCAGUUUCACUAAAUCAACUAUCUGUAAGCCAAGUUAAUAGAAUAAAAUAUUUGUAUAUCAGUCUCAGUAAUUGCUCCUCAUGUAUAAUUUUAUAUGAUUUUCAUUUUCAUUGUGUUAUAAACAGGAAGAAAACUUACCAAGCACCAAAGGAGAGAAAAUAACUACAGGGUGAGGGGUAAAGCCAGAAAAUAGGUCUAUGAUCAGUGGCUGUUUAUGGUGAGGUAGACUUAGUAUGUUUUAAAAACCAAAUGUCAAGCUUUGUAGGAAUUUUAUAUUUCUUUGUAUAUUGUCUUAUUUCCUUAGUGUUUACAGUGUUAACUUAGUUCACUUACAAACUAUUCUCUAAAAUUCCUCUUGGGAACUUUUUUCAGUUUUUCUCUAAAAAACUACAAAAGCUUUCUACUACCUUGAAGGGAAUGUGGAAUUGUGAAAAUUGAAAUUAACAACUAUGGACUAUUAUCCAAAUAAUUGUAAACAAGUCACUGAACACAUCUGAGCCUUGCUUUAUCUCUAAAAUCAAAACAAAUGAAAACCUACCCCACCAUCCCCAAGGUUUAUAAAUGCUACCGAUUACUGUAACUCUUAUCCACCCGAAAAAAUUCCUCCAUGGAUGAAUCCAACUAUUUGGAUUUUUUGUUCCUGCUGCAGGCUUCCCAGAAGAGCUGGAGAAACUUUCACACUGGAAAGACUUGGUACUAAAAUAAAUUCAUGGUAGUCACCUUCACCUGGACUUUCACACCGCACAGCAGGCCCACUGUGUUUCUCUAACCACUCAUUCUUCCUUUUUAUGCAAUUGCGGUUUCAAAUCCUCUUCACUUCUUUCAAGCUUCUGACAUCCUUUGAAAGCCAUUCUCACUAAGUGACCUCUGUGUUAUUGAGAAAAUUGAGUACCUGAGCUUCUGAAUUUCCUGCUGGAAAAUCUGCCCACUGACCUUCAUCUGCAUCCAUCCAGCUUUCACUGAAUCCUAGUACCUUUGCCUGUGUUCUGAAUUCUUCCUUACUAUCUCAGGGACCUUUAUCAUCAGUUAUCCCUUAUGUCACCUGGAUGGUCAGCCACUGCCUCUAAAUCCUUCCCAUCCGCAUGUAAAUAUUCAUUCCUGCAGUCCCUUCUUCAGGGAACAGUUGUCAGUUACCAUUCUUCCACCCAUCUAAUACUCGAUUUCUUCUCCCAUUUGUAAUCAGUUUUAAAGAACCGUCUGCCCUGAUGUUUCUAUUUCUUUACUUCCCAUUCUCUUGGCAACCUGUUCCCGUUGUUCUUCCAUCCUCACCCCUCUCCUGAAACUAUUCCUGCUAAGGUCCCAAUAGUUUCCUUGUCCCUUAAUCCCAUGGACUUCUGACCUGUUAGGCAACAUUUCAUACCCUAAACCAGUGUUCGGGCAAACUGUAGCAUGUGGACCAAAUAUAGCUUCAGCAUGUUCUUAUAUGGCCUUUGAACUAAAAUAUUUUCAUCUAUCUGGCUCUUUACAGAAAAAGAUUGCCAACCCCUUCUAUAGUUCACUCCCUCCUUUUAAAAAUAAAUUCUUCUUUUGGCUCUUCCCUUAUAAGUAAGUUUUGUUUUCUUUGUACUCUUCUCUCCUUUCUUUCUCAGUCUCUCUGUGGUUACCAGACCCUUAGAUGUUGGAAUUCCUCAACACUUUAUGUUGGAAGUGGGAUCUUCUGGAUCUCAUCUACUCCCAAACUUCUACCUCACAUUUUCUUCUGAACAUCAUACAUGUGUAUUCAACUGCCUACUCAACCUCUCCACUUAAUGUGCUACAGAUAGCCCAAACUCAAUAUAUUUGAAACUGAACUCACAAUCCUGUGCUAACCCUGCCUUUCCUACAGACUGUCAUAACCCAAUAGAGUAUAAAGCUGUUGCUUAUAAAGUUAAUGUCAGAAAUCUGGGAGUCUUUGAACAUCUCUUCCUCUCCUCAUCUUGUUCCACUCACAUCUAAGUAAUCACCAAAUGCUAUUAAUUGUAUUACCUGCUUGGUUUUUAAUCUACUUCAUUCAUUCUGCCCAAUACCACCCUAAAGUCAAAAACACCAUCAUCUGGUCAAAUGCUUUAACCUAAGUAGCCUUCCUCUUUUUCUUUAAAAAAAAUUUUUUUGUAAUUGAAUAAUUCUCAUACCAUAUGGGUUACCCUAAAAUUUACAAUUUAGUAGUUCUUAGUUUAUUCAAGAUUCAAACAUUAGUGGUACAUAUCUGGUAUUUUUGCCAUAAGCAUCUUUGCUGUAGACAUUUUUGCUGCAUAGCUAAGUGGCUUUAGAGCAAUUUUGCCUUAAAACAUAAGAUAACUGGUUGACAGUUUGGUUUCAAAUGAUUGACACUUAGUUUCAUUUCUCCAUUGACACAGUUCUCCCAUUUUUAUAUUACAUAAAUCCUAGCCCUCAUAAGGAUCGACACAAUGACAAGUAGAUAUGGUAGUAUUAAAAUAGUGGAUGAAAACUGUAUAUCAACUUGAUGGGAAAUAUGGUGAUAAAACUUACCGGAACUGUUAAAUAAGAAUGUAAAGACAGAUUGCAUACUAUACCAGAAAAUGAUAACUCACAAAGCUCAGUUAUAAUUGAGUAUUUGGAAACUGAUACCUCUUUUUUUUCCUUUUUUUGUGCUUUUCAGGGCUGCACCCACGGCGUAUGGAGGUUCCCAGGCUAGGGGUCUAAUCAGAGCUAUAGCUGCCGGCCUACACCAUAGCCACAGCAACACCAGAUACGAGCCUCGUCUGCAACCUACAUCACAGUUCAUGGCAGCGCCGGAUCCUUAACCCAAUGAGCAAGGCCAGGGAUCGAACCCGCAAUCUCAUGGUUCCUAGUCGGAUUUGUUUCUGCUGUGCCACAGUGGGUACUCCUGAUACCUCUCUUAAUGAAAGAAGAAAGUUUAGUGAAAAAGAAAAGGUGCUAUGCCGAAUGAGGAGAGACAUCAACUGCAAAAUAACAAAGUAAAAUGUAUGUGUAAAAUACAUUCUCUUACAUCAUAGUACAAUUAUCAAAAUCAAGAAAUUAAUUUUGAUGUAAUAUUAUCUAAUCUGCUGACCUUAUUAAGAUUUAGCCAGUUGUCAAACUAACGUGUAUGUGUAUUUUACAAAAAAUAAAAAUAAAAGAACAGGGAGUUCCCGUCGUGGCGCAAUGGUUAACGAAUCCGACUAGGAACCAUGAGGUUGCGGGUUCGGUCCCUGCCCUUGCUCAGUGGGUUAACGAUCCGGCGUUGCCGUGAGCUGUGGUGUAGGUUGCAGACGCGGCUCGGAUCCCGCGUUGCUGUGGCUCUGGCGUAGGCCGGCGGCUACAGCUCCGAUUCAACCCCUAGCCUGGGAACCUCCAUAUGCCGCGGGAGCGGCCCAAGAAAUAGCAACAACAACAACAACAAAAAGACAAAAAUAAAUAAAUAAAUAAAUAAAAGAGCAGAACAGAAAAAAUGGGGUUUUAGUGGUCUAGAAUCUAAUUCAGUUUCACACAUUGGAUUUAGUCACCAUGUCUCUUUGGUCUGCCUCAUUCUGGAACACUUCCUCACUCUUUGUCUUUAAUAAGACUAGAUGAUGACGGGAGUUUUGGUAUUCAUGAUGCAUCAGCAAUGGAGAGCUCUACUUGAUACUCAAAACAAGAGGAGAGGAUGGUGUCACUCACUGAGCAUGCAGUUUUGGCAUUUGGAGACUAUAUGGGAGCAACUUGUCUGUGCCUGCCUUGUGUGGAAUCAGUGCUCCCAAUGAAAUGCAAAACCUGCAGGCUGAUAGAGGAGGCAGCACACAACGUCCAGGGAGAGCAUUGAUAUGUUAAAUAGAAGAUAUCUUUUCUCUAGAAGAAAGUCUUGGCAACCCACUGUUAAGUAAGACUUUUUUUCGUUUUACAAAAUGGAUCAAGAUGCUUGUUUUGGAUGAAUUCAGUAAAAAUGUUGAGCCAAAGGAUUAAAGGUCAAAUCCAUGAGAUUUACCGGAAAUCAAAUCUGGAUUCAGGCUGUAUUGUUUUCUGCCUUAAUGCUAAUCGAUAUAUUGAAAAUCAUCAAAAAGUUCCCAAGAGAUCCAUUUCAAAUUCCGGUGAAGAAGGAAGAACUGAACUUUGAAAAGGCCAAAAUGUUACAAUAAUUUUGAAAGAGGAAUUGUUCAGAGUUGAUUUGGGAGGAAAGCAAUGGCCGUAAGUGUUGAAGAAGACAAGGAGGUUCUUUGUGAUACUGAUACUUUCUACAAUACUGCAGUGGAGGAAACGCCAGUGGGUAUGACGGACCUUAUUAAAUCCUGGGAUGAAAUGGUUUUGAAUGUGAUGCUUGCUGUUGCAGUGCAGGUGAUCAUGAUGUGCACUGUGCUUCUUUUGCAGGGGGUGGGGGGCUUGCGGGAGGAAUAUUUGAAGCUUGUUUCAAUGCUCAUAACGGAUCAAAAAUAUAGAUUUUGCUGCAAAGCAACUUUAGUCAUGAGCUCUUUUGAGGAAAGUCAUUGCCUUUAUCCUCUUUAGAGUUAGAUUGUUGGUUGGGUCUAAGGGAUUGUGAACAUCUUCCUUAGCAAUUUAUUUCCUAGUUAUCUAAAUAAUAAUUAUAUUGAGUAUUUGUUAUCAUCUAAUAAUAUACUUACAGACUGAAAGAUAUGUGCCUUCAGUGUUUAAACUAGUGUAUCUGCCAUUAUUGUGUUAGUCAUCAGGCUGAGUAGAAUGAACUUUAAAAUUAUUUUUUAAGAAAAUAUUUGAAUUCAUUUUGUUUGGUAUCAUUUUUAUUCAGUAAGGCAUUUAUUUUGUUAGUGGUAAGUGUAAACUAGAGUCUUUUGCUAAGCACCAGCAACAAUCAUAUCCUAUGGUUAAAUCUCAGAAAAAUCGCUAUAUUGCAUAUUGAAUGUUCAGCAAAUUACAAUGAAGUAUAUUUUUCU
RNAcentral lists this long non-coding RNA (6090 nucleotides) under Sus scrofa (pig). Its description in RNAcentral is "lncRNA (ENSSSCG00060052839.1)". The record is from RNAcentral. Lineage: Eukaryota; Metazoa; Chordata; Mammalia; Artiodactyla; Suidae.